This 72-nucleotide transfer RNA is filed under the name Camelus bactrianus (Bactrian camel). It matches the Rfam family "tRNA". From Rfam's summary of the family: Transfer RNA (tRNA) molecules are approximately 80 nucleotides in length. Their secondary structure includes four short double-helical elements and three loops (D, anti-codon, and T loops). RNAcentral also lists the same sequence under 2 other names. The record is from Rfam by way of RNAcentral. Lineage: Eukaryota; Metazoa; Chordata; Mammalia; Artiodactyla; Camelidae.
AAGGAUAUAGCUCAGUGGUAGAGCGCAUGCUUAGCAUGCACGAGGUCCUAGGUUCAAUCCCCAGCACCUCUG